GAUUAACGCUGGCGGUAUGCCUAAUACAUGCAAGUCGAACGAAAAUCUUCGGAUUUUAGUGGCGAACGGGUGAGUAAUGUAUGUUUAAUCUACCUUGUAGUUUGGAAUAACCAUUGGAAACGAUGGCUAAUACUGAAUACUAUUUAUAAUGGAAUCUUUAUAAAUUAAAAGGGGCGUUUGCCCCGCUAUAAGAUGAGAACAUAUUACAUUAGCUAGUUGGUAGGGUAAAGGCCUACCAAGGCAAUGAUGUAUAGCCGAGCCGAGAGGUUGAUCGGCCACAAUGGGACUGAGACACGGCCCAUACUCCUACGGGAGGCAGCAGUAGGGAAUUUUUCACAAUGGACGAAAGUCUGAUGAAGCAAUACCGCGUGAGGGAAGACGGUUUUAGGACUGUAAACCUCUGUUAUAAGGGAAGAAUAUGUCGGAGAGGAAAUGCUCCGUGCAGUGACGGUACUUUAUUAGAAAGUCACGGCUAACUAUGUGCCAGCAGCCGCGGUAAUACAUAGGUGGCAAGCGUUAUCCGGAUUUAUUGGGCGUAAAGAGUGCACAGGUGGUUAUAUAAGUUUGAUGUUAAAGACCGAAGCUCAACUUCGGUUCGCAUUGAAAACUGUAUAACUAGAAUGCAGGUGGGAAUAGUGGAAUUCGAUGUGUAGCGGU
RNAcentral lists this ribosomal RNA (657 nucleotides) under uncultured Mollicutes bacterium. RNAcentral describes it as "bacterial SSU rRNA". It matches the Rfam family "Bacterial small subunit ribosomal RNA", at positions 28 to 682 of the family's 1533-position model. Lineage: Bacteria; Bacillati; Mycoplasmatota; Mollicutes. The record is from RNAcentral.